CGUACACUCCUACGGGAGGCAGCAGUGGGGAAUUUUAGACAAUGGGCGAAAGCCUGAUCCAGCCAUGCCGCGUGCAGGAUGAAGGCCUUCGGGUUGUAAACUGCUUUUGUACGGAACGAAACGGCCUUUUCUAAUAAAGAGGGCUAAUGACGGUACCGUAAGAAUAAGCACCGGCUAACUACGUGCCAGCAGCCGCGGUAAUACGUAGGGUGUAAGCGUUAAUCGGAAUUACUGGGCGUAAAGCGUGCGCAGGCGGUUAUGUAAGACAGUUGUGAAAUCCCCGGGCUCAACCUGGGAACUGCAUCUGUGACUGCAUAGCUAGAGUACGGUAGAGGGGGAUGGAAUUCCGCGUGUAGCAGUGAAAUGCGUAGAUAUGCGGAGGAACACCGAUGGCGAAGGCAAUCCCCUGGACCUGUACUGACGCUCAUGCACGAAAGCGUGGGGAGCAAACAGGAUUAGAAACCCCGGUAGUCCCAUGAU
RNAcentral lists this ribosomal RNA (480 nucleotides) under uncultured organism. Its description in RNAcentral is "partial 16S ribosomal RNA". It matches the Rfam family "Bacterial small subunit ribosomal RNA", at positions 330 to 801 of the family's 1533-position model. The record is from RNAcentral.